RNAcentral lists this ribosomal RNA (490 nucleotides) under uncultured bacterium. Its description in RNAcentral is "partial 16S ribosomal RNA". It matches the Rfam family "Bacterial small subunit ribosomal RNA", at positions 30 to 507 of the family's 1533-position model. The record is from RNAcentral.
AUUGAACGCUGGCGGCAGGCCUAACACAUGCAAGUCGAACGGUAACAGGAAGCAGCUUGCUGCUUCGCUGACGAGUGGCGGACGGGUGAGUAAUGUCUGGGAAGCUGCCUGAUGGAGUGGGAUAACUACUGGAAACGGUAGCUAAUACCGCAUAAUGUCGCAAGACCAAAGAGGGGGACCUUCGGGCCUCUUGCCAUCGGAUGUGCCCAGAUGGGAUUAGCUUGUUGGUGGGGUAACGGCUCACCAAGGCGACGAUCCCUAGCUGGUCUGAGAGGAUGACCAGCCACACUGGAACUGAGACACGGUCCAGACUCCUACGGGAGGCAGCAGUGGGGAAUAUUGCACAAAGGGCGCAAGCCUGAUGCAGCCAUGCCGCGUGUAUGAAGAAGGCCUUCGGGUUGUAAAGUACUUUCAGCGGGGAGGAAGGGAGUAAAGUUAAUACCUUUGCUCAUUGACGUUACCCGCAGAAGAAGCACCGGCUAACUCCGUG